ACCAAGAGGACGGUGCGAGGGCAUGGCCAUGGGUGCCAUUGUUCUCGAUCUCCGACCUGGUUUCCGUAUCGGACUCUUCUCUCUCGGGAUGCCAAUAUGCGAAUCAUUUGCUCAGAUAGAGCAGCAGCCUAACAUGUACGAUGUCUUCCACGUGAAGUACUUUGAUGAGACCCUUGUCCGUGGACAACACUCUGUGGUGAUUAUUUCUACAACUAUUUUACAUGUGGUUUGGACAUCUUAUUUGAUGGACAGGCUCAUAAGAUCAAGAAGUUUGUUUUGCAUACAAACUAUCCCGGUCAUGCAGAUUUCAAUUCAUAUAGAAAGUGCAAUUUUAUUAUCUUUGGUUCAGAUGUUGAGGGGUCUUUUGAGGAUGUAAAUGGCAGCAGACAGACGAUUGCACCAAGCACCAACUGGGAGCAAGUGAAGGUGAUGAAGAAUGGUUAUACUGCAACUGUCCGGACGUAUACAUUAUGGGAAUGCCACAGAUGCUAGUUCUUUUUUUUUUUUUUUUUUUUUUUUUCUAUGCUUUCAACUUAAAUUAGCUGUUAGAAACGGGGUUAUUCAAGCCACAAUAAAUUCUAGGGUUUAUAUAAUAUCAUUUUAGCUUUCUGAACAUUCCACUAAUUGCCUAACAACUGCAGUUUAGAAAUUGAAAUUAUCACAGGUUUGGGAGCCAUUCAUUGGCAUGAAUAAAACUCGGUGAAAUAAAUGGUUCAACCUCCUUAGCAGUAAGCUCCCUGGACCAUGAAACUCGUCCUCCGAAAUCAGCCCCUGCUCCCCAACAUUUGUAUUGUCCAUAAAACACAGUCCUGCAUUGAUGUUGUUUCAAAUUGGUUAAAAACACUAUGCAGGCAUAUAAAUCAUGGCACGUCUUGGAAGUAAAUAGGAGAGAGAAA
Molecule: RNA transcript, 896 nt
Organism: Juglans microcarpa x Juglans regia
Lineage: Eukaryota; Viridiplantae; Streptophyta; Magnoliopsida; Fagales; Juglandaceae
Gene name: UPF0183 protein At3g51130-like
Exons: 7
Source: RefSeq, a predicted model, not a curated record